RNAcentral lists this unclassified non-coding RNA (374 nucleotides) under Hevea brasiliensis (rubber tree). The record is from RNAcentral. Lineage: Eukaryota; Viridiplantae; Streptophyta; Magnoliopsida; Malpighiales; Euphorbiaceae.
GGCUAGUGAUUCAAGAACGCUGGAUUUGCCGGAAGAUUGAUCCCCAACAACAACGAUGGUGGGGAGCUGUAUACCUUCAUUCAUGACCUUGAGGUGCCUAAGCUUAUCAACUGCAUCAAGAAGUGGACGAAUAUGAUCGUUGUAAGAUGAUACGAUGGGUACAUGGGUUUCCAUAUUUGCAUCUUCUUCUUCAUUAACGACAGCAAGUGAAUCCUCUACAUAUUCUACAAGCUCUUGACCAUUUUCGUAAGAACCCAUUUUCUGGGAAAGAAAGAGAGAGAAAAGGAAAAUUAGAAAUUUUGGUUUUAGAGCUCAAAGAAAAACCAAGGGAGAGAAUUAGAGAGGAAUUUGUAAUUGGAUGACUUGAAACUACG